This 317-nucleotide long non-coding RNA is filed under the name Vigna radiata. Its description in RNAcentral is "long non-coding RNA (VRAD_LNC002300)". The record is from RNAcentral. Lineage: Eukaryota; Viridiplantae; Streptophyta; Magnoliopsida; Fabales; Fabaceae.
UGAGAGUUGCAGAGAGCGUUUGGAGGAGGAGCGUUUCAAAAAGCUUUGGUGGGAGUGGGGGUGGGAAUACGAAGGAGAGGAAUUUGAGUCUGUGUGUUUUGACUGAGGCAGACUGUAAAAGAGUAGGUUAACUUUAGUAAAUAGGUGUAAAACGGUAAAAAUAAAAAAAAACAUAAAGAUUAAUUUUGUAUUUAAAAAAAAUCCAAAAAAAUUGGGGGGUGGGAGUUGGAAUUGGGGAGGUACAGGGAGUAACUCCCAUAAAUUUGUAAUAUACUUUCUAUGUAUAAUCAAGUUAUUUUGUCAUUUAAAAAAAAAAA